AGCUGUGCGCAGUGGCGGUACCAUAGCCAAUGAGGAAUUUCCGAGGCGUGGUUAUUGCUAGUCUAUAUAAUCUUUAAAUGAGAAUAAGCAGUAGAUAGAAUAUUAAUUAAAUAAGAACACUAAUAUGAAUAUAUGUUGUUGUUACUCGUCC
RNAcentral lists this small nuclear RNA (151 nucleotides) under Lottia gigantea (owl limpet). RNAcentral's name for it is "U4 spliceosomal RNA". The stretch from base 1 to 65 matches the Rfam family "U4 spliceosomal RNA". The record is from RNAcentral. Lineage: Eukaryota; Metazoa; Mollusca; Gastropoda; Lottiidae.